This 550-nucleotide ribosomal RNA is filed under the name Globigerinella siphonifera. RNAcentral's name for it is "bacterial SSU rRNA". It matches the Rfam family "Eukaryotic small subunit ribosomal RNA", at positions 1179 to 1470 of the family's 1831-position model. The record is from RNAcentral. Lineage: Eukaryota; Foraminifera; Rotaliida; Globigerinidae.
GAGCAUGUGGCUUAAUUUGACUCAACGCGGGGAAUCUUACCGGGUCCGGACACACUGAGGAUUGACAGACAGUUGUCUUUCCCUCCCUUCGGGGUGGGAUUACAAAAGAUAACAGAUCUUUCAUGAUCAUGUGAUGGGUGGUGCAUGGCCGUUCUUAGUUCGUGGAGUGAUCUGUCUGCUUAAUUGCGUUUCAAAUUUUAUAUUUGUUAACAUGCGAGUCUUCAAUGACGGCCGCUCCACCUUAUAGACAUUAUAUGAUAUGCACAUUUGUGUAUUUGAUUAUAACUUGUCUGGAGUCUGGCUCGAUUUUUUUGACUCAAUUGAACGCAACGGACGUGAUUGCAAGUCCUUGUUGAACAAAUUAUAUAUAUACUACUUCAUCAUUAGUAUAUAUAGUUCGCUUCUCAUGUCGUAGCAGUCAAACGGGCGGGCGUCUUAAUUGGCGCGGUCACGAGGCUUAAUAUGCUGCGGCAGGGAAAACUUGGGCGACCGCUGUAAUACUUCUCUCUUAAACCAGAGGAAGAUUGCGGCAAUAACAGGUCUGUGAUGC